GGGCCCGCACAAGCAGUGGAGCAUGUGGUUUAAUUCGAUGCAACGCGAAGAACCUUACCAGGCCUUGACAUCCUCGGAACUUUCUAGAGAUAGAUUGGUGCCUUCGGGACCGGUGCACAGGUGCUGCAUGGCUGUCGUCAGCUCGUGUCGUGAGAUGUUGGGUUAAGUCCCGCAACGAGCGCAACCCUUAUCCUUAGUUGCCAUCACGUUUGGGUGGGCACUCUAGGGAAACUGCCGGUGCUAAGCCGGAGGAAGGCGGGGAUGACGUCAAGUCCUCAUGGCCCUUACGGGUAGGGCUACACACGUGCUACAAUGGCUAGGACAGACGGCCGCAACCCGUGAGGGGAGCCAA
This 352-nucleotide ribosomal RNA is filed under the name uncultured bacterium. RNAcentral's name for it is "bacterial SSU rRNA". It matches the Rfam family "Bacterial small subunit ribosomal RNA", at positions 917 to 1271 of the family's 1533-position model. The record is from RNAcentral.